Cervus elaphus (red deer) is the source of this 73-nucleotide non-coding RNA. NCBI's taxonomy places the organism in Eukaryota, Metazoa, Chordata, Mammalia, Artiodactyla, Cervidae. The record is from the annotation of a RefSeq genome assembly.
GCCUGGGUAGCUCUGUCGGUAAAGUGUCAGACUUUUAAUCUGAGGGUCCAGGGUUCAUGUCCCUGUCCAGGUG